AUUGAACGCUGGCGGCAUGCCUUACACAUGCAAGUCGAACGGCAGCACGGGAGCAAUCCUGGUGGCGAGUGGCGAACGGGUGAGUAAUAUAUCGGAACGUGCCCAGUCGUGGGGAUAACGUAGCGAAAGCUACGCUAAUACCGCAUACGAUCUAUGGAUGAAAGCGGGGGAUCGCAAGACCUCGCGCGAUUGGAGCGGCCGAUAUCAGAUUAGGUAGUUGGUGAGGUAAAGGCUCACCAAGCCGACGAUCUGUAGCUGGUCUGAGAGGACGACCAGCCACACUGGGACUGAGACACGGCCCAGACUCCUACGGGAGGCAGCAGUGGGGAAUUUUGGACAAUGGGCGGCAAGCCCUGAUCCAGCAAUGCCGCGUGCAGGAUG
Molecule: ribosomal RNA, 381 nt
Filed under: uncultured bacterium
Lineage: Bacteria
Description: bacterial SSU rRNA
Rfam family: Bacterial small subunit ribosomal RNA
Source: RNAcentral